CUACGAGCGGCUGCAGUGGGGAAUAUUGCACAAUGGGCGCAAGCCUGAUGCAGCCAUGCCGCGUGUAUGAAGAAGGCCUUCGGGUUGUAAAGUACUUUCAGCGGGGAGGAAGGGAGUAAAGUUAAUACCUUUGCUCAUUGACGUUACCCGCAGAAGAAGCACCGGCUAACUCCGUGCCAGCAGCCGCGGUAAUACGGAGGGUGCAAGCGUUAAUCGGAAUUACUGGGCGUAAAGCGCACGCAGGCGGUUUGUUAAGUCAGAUGUGAAAUCCCCGGGCUCAACCUGGGAACUGCAUCUGAUACUGGCAAGCUUGAGUCUCGUAGAGGGGGGUAGAAUUCCAGGUGUAGCGGUGAAAUGCGUAGAGAUCUGGAGGAAUACCGGUGGCGAAGGCGGCCCCCUGGACGAAGACUGACGCUCAGGUGCGAAAGCGUGGGGAGCAAACAGGAUUAGAUACCCGCGUAGUC
Molecule: ribosomal RNA, 464 nt
Filed under: uncultured bacterium
Lineage: Bacteria
Description: partial 16S ribosomal RNA
Rfam family: Bacterial small subunit ribosomal RNA
Source: RNAcentral